GACGGAGGAUGCAAGCGUUAUCCGGAAUGAUUGGGCGUAAAGCGUCCGCAGGUGGCAGUUCAAGUCUGCUGUCAAAGACCGGGGCUUAACUUCGGAAAGGCAGUGGAAACUGAACAGCUAGAGUAUGGUAGGGGCAGAGGGAAUUCCUGGUGUAGCGGUGAAAUGCGUAGAGAUCAGGAAGAACAUCGGUGGCGAAGGCGCUCUGCUGGGCCAUAACUGACACUCAGGGACGAAAGCUAGGGGAGCGAAUGGG
RNAcentral lists this ribosomal RNA (253 nucleotides) under uncultured bacterium. RNAcentral describes it as "partial 16S ribosomal RNA". It matches the Rfam family "Bacterial small subunit ribosomal RNA", at positions 524 to 776 of the family's 1533-position model. The record is from RNAcentral.